Molecule: ribosomal RNA, 229 nt
Filed under: uncultured bacterium
Lineage: Bacteria
Description: partial 16S ribosomal RNA
Rfam family: Bacterial small subunit ribosomal RNA
Source: RNAcentral
CAUGUAGGCGGUCUGUCAAGUCAGAUGUGAAAGCCCGGGGCUUAACCCCGGAAGUGCAUUUGAUACUGUCAGGCUUGAGUAUGGGAGAGGGAAGUGGAAUUCCUGGUGUAGAGGUGAAAUUCGUAGAUAUCAGGAGGAACACCGGUGGCGAAGGCGACUUCCUGGACCAAUACUGACGCUGAGGUGCGAAGGCGUGGGUAGCAAACAGGAUUAGAUACCCUGGUAGUCC